AGUGAACGCUGGCGGUAGGCCUAACACAUGCAAGUCGAACGGCAGCACAGUAAGAGCUUGCUCUUACGGGUGGCGAGUGGCGGACGGGUGAGGAAUACAUCGGAAUCUACUUUUUCGUGGGGGAUAACGUAGGGAAACUUACGCUAAUACCGCAUACGACCUACGGGUGAAAGCAGGGGAUCUUCGGACCUUGCGCGAUUGAAUGCGCCGAUGUCGGAUUAGCUAGUUGGCGGGGUAAAGGCCCACCAAGGCGACGAUCCGUAGCUGGUCUGAGAGGAUGAUCAGCCACACUGGAACUGGGACACGGUCCAGACUACUAAGGGAGGCAGCAGAGGGGAAUAUUGGACAAUGGGCGCAAGCAUGAUCCAGCCAUACCGCGUGGGUGAAGAAGGCCUUCGGGUUGUAAAGCCCUUUUGUUGGGAAAGAAAAGCAGCAGGUUAAUACCCCGCUGUUCUGACGGUACCCAAAGAAUAAGCAUCGGCUAACUUCGUG
Molecule: ribosomal RNA, 492 nt
Filed under: uncultured bacterium
Lineage: Bacteria
Description: partial 16S ribosomal RNA
Rfam family: Bacterial small subunit ribosomal RNA
Source: RNAcentral